RNAcentral lists this ribosomal RNA (1499 nucleotides) under uncultured bacterium. RNAcentral's name for it is "bacterial SSU rRNA". It matches the Rfam family "Bacterial small subunit ribosomal RNA". The record is from RNAcentral.
UGGUUUGAUUAUGGCUCAGGAUGAACGCUGGCGGCAUGCCUAAUACAUGCAAGUCGAACGGAGUGAAGCCUUCGGGUUUCAUUCAGUGGCGAACGGGUGAGUAAUACGCAGGGAACCUGGCCAUGGCAGGGGGAUACACUCUGGAAACGGAGCAUAAGACCCCAUAGGCAGUAAGGCGGCAUCGCCUUACUGUUAAAGAAAGCUGAAAGGCUUUGGCGAUGGAUGGACCUGCGGUGCAUUAGCUUGUUGGCGAGGCAACGGCUUACCAAGGCGAUGAUGCAUAGCCGGCCUGAGAGGGCGGACGGCCACACUGGGACUGAGACACGGCCCAGACUCCUGCGGGAGGCAGCAGUAGGGAAUUUUCGUCAAUGGGCGCAAGCCUGAACGAGCAAUGCCGCGUGAGUGAGGAAGGUCUUCGGACUGUAAAGCUCUGUUGCCGGGGAAAAAGGGGAAAUGCAGGAAAUGGCAUUUCAUGGAUGGUACCCGGCCAGAAAGCCACGGCUAACUACGUGCCAGCAGCCGCGGUAAUACGUAGGUGGCGAGCGUUAUCCGGAAUGAUUGGGCGUAAAGGGUGCGCAGGCGGUCUGUUAAGUCUGAAGGCAAAGGGAUGAGCUCAACUCAUUUAUGAUUCAGAAACUGGCAGACUUGAGGACAGGAGAGGGCGGUGGAACUCCAUGUGUAGCGGUAAAAUGCGCAGAGAUAUGGAAGAACACCAGUGGCGAAGGCGGCCGCCUGGCCUGUGACUGACGCUGAGGCACGAAAGCGUGGGGAGCAAAUAGGAUUAGAUACCCUAGUAGUCCACGCCGUAAACGAUGAGGAGCAGGUGUUGGGAGUGAAAUCUCAGUGCCGAAGCCAACGCAGUGACUCCUCCGCCUGGGGAGUAUGCACGCAAGUGUGAAACUCAAAGGAAUUGACGGGGGCCCGCACAAGCGGUGGAGUAUGUGGUUUAAUUCGAAGCAACGCGAAGAACCUUACCAGGUUUUGACAUCGGAUGCGAAGGCGCAGAGAUGCGCUGGAGGCUAUCAUCCAGACAGGUGGUGCAUGGUUGUCGUCAGCUCGUGUCGUGAGAUGUUCAGUUAAGUCUGGCAACGAGCGCAACCCCCGUGGUAUGUUACUAACGCAUUUGGGCGAGGACUCAUAUCAGACUGCCGGUGACAAACCGGAGGAAGGCGGGGAUGACGUCAAAUCAUCAUGCCCCUUAUGACCUGGGCUACACACGUACUACAAUGGCGUCUACAGAGGGAAGCGACCCUGAGAAGGGAAGCGAAACCGGAAAAGGGCGUCCCAGUUCGGAUUGAAGUCUGCAACCCGACUUCAUGAAGAUGGAAUCGCUAGUAAUCGCGGAUCAGCAUGCCGCGGUGAAUACGUUCCCGGGCCUUGUACACACCGCCCGUCAAACCAUGGAAGCCGGCAACGCCCGAAGCCGGUGGCAUAACCUUUUAGGAGUGAGCCGUCGAAGGCGGGGCCGAUGACUGGGGUUAAGUCGUAACAAGGUACCC